CUUAACGUUUAUGUAACCACUAUAACAACAUCAACCCAAGAAGACCUUAUUAAUUUUUACGUUAACCUUACACUAGUACAUUUCAGGAAAGAUUAAAAAAGAGAGAAGGAACUCGGCAAAUUUUAGCCCCGCCUGUUUACCAAAAACAUCACCUCUUGGCAUAAUAUAAGAGGCCCAGCCUGCCCGGUGACAAAGUUUAACGGCUACGGUACCCUGACCGUACGAAGGUAGCAUAAUCACUUGUUCCUUAAAUAGGGACUUGUAUCAACGGCAUCACGAGGGCUGCACUGUCUCCUCUCUUCAAUCAGUGAAACUGAUCCUCCCGUGAAGAAGCGGGAAUUUAAUUAUAAGACGAGAAGACCCCAUGGAGCUUUAAAUAACGUACUCACACUAUAUAAAUAUACCACUUAACUAAAAGCCCUGAGUACAAGUUUUAGGUUGGGGAGACCGCGGAGAACAACUAAACCUCCAUGACAAACGGCCCAAGCCCUUAUCCACGAGCCACAACUCUAAGAAUCAGCACACUGAUGAUUA
RNAcentral lists this ribosomal RNA (534 nucleotides) under Amnirana amnicola (Ilanga frog). Its description in RNAcentral is "partial 16S ribosomal RNA". It matches the Rfam family "Bacterial large subunit ribosomal RNA", at positions 1587 to 2414 of the family's 2925-position model. Lineage: Eukaryota; Metazoa; Chordata; Amphibia; Anura; Ranidae. The record is from RNAcentral.